This 950-nucleotide long non-coding RNA is filed under the name Panax ginseng (ginseng). RNAcentral's name for it is "long non-coding RNA (PGIN_LNC008143)". The record is from RNAcentral. Lineage: Eukaryota; Viridiplantae; Streptophyta; Magnoliopsida; Apiales; Araliaceae.
UUUUGUGCUCUUUGGAUUUUAGGUACAGAAGAAUUCACUGUCUUUUCCUUUUGAUUUUAAUUAGCACAUGUUGUUUGUUUCCUUUUAAAUUAUGAAGCUUAAUUAGCUAAAAUCAUAUCCGUCUCUUUUGCUCUCCACUCCCUCUGUUUAAAAAGAUUGCAGUUAGAAUCUUCUCUUUGUUUGUAUUUGAUUAACUUUACAGCUUAGGAUUCUUUUUAGCAUUUCGUAUUUCGUUAGAAACUUUAAUACUAAAAAAGAGUUACUUCAAGUUUUACUAUAAAAUUUCUGGAUAAUAAUCUUACAUCUUAUACAUAAUGCUUAAUAUUCUACUGUUUAUCAGGGUUAAACUGCAUUUACUCAUAUUCUGUCCCAACUAGCUGAAGAGAUUUUAAAAGUUUCUCUUACAAAAGUUCUGCUCAGAACUCUGAUAGAGACUGGAGAAAAACAUGGUUCAGACAUUGGAGGCCAUCAAAGGUGGUGGAGGGUCCAUCAAAGUUGGAACCAUUGAGACAAAUCUUCUGCACCUACUAUUCUGGCACCUGGUGGUGUUACGUCUCCCAAAAGAUUAAGGCCAAGAUCAUCAGCUAAUGAAGCAAGUAGUAAUCGCAGCAGCAAUAUAAAUAGAAACCCGAAAAAUCACCAUUUGUAGUACUGUCUUCCAUAGUAAGCAGCUAGAACUGCUUAGUAUUGUUGAGUUGUUUUUGUUUUAAAGACAUGCAUGUUAGUUUCUAAAUAACAUCCAUAUUCUGUAAUGUUGUUGAGUGAGUCAUUAGAAAUUAAUUUUAUCUCUGGAUUGGCUUGCUUUUCAGAUAAUAAGUUGGUCUCAAUUGCCUAAUUGAGGUCCUUAAUGUCAAUUACAUUCCACAAAAACAAAAAGUUGUAUAGCGUACAACAUUCAAAUGUUAUAAAUAUUACAGAAAAAUGAAAUAUCAAACUUAGAUAAUAAUCAA